RNAcentral lists this ribosomal RNA (301 nucleotides) under uncultured bacterium. Its description in RNAcentral is "partial 16S ribosomal RNA". It matches the Rfam family "Bacterial small subunit ribosomal RNA", at positions 512 to 816 of the family's 1533-position model. The record is from RNAcentral.
CAGCCGCGGUAAUACAGAGGGUGCGAGCGUUAAUCGGAUUUACUGGGCGUAAAGCGUGCGUAGGCGGCUUUUAAGUCGGAUGUGAAAUCCCUGAGCUUAACUUAGGAAUUGCAUUCGAUACUGGGAAGCUAGAGUAUGGGAGAGGAUGGUAGAAUUCCAGGUGUAGCGGUGAAAUGCGUAGAGAUCUGGAGGAAUACCGAUGGCGAAGGCAGCCAUCUGGCCUAAUACUGACGCUGAGGUACGAAAGCAUGGGGAGCAAACAGGAUUAGAGACCCCCGUAGUCCCUGUCUCUUAUACACAC